CACGGCCCCCCACGUGGUGUCAUCGCGCUGAACUCCCCCAGGACCGGAAGGUAGCAAGGGUAAGCGGGCUCUGGCAGGUGCGUGGGGGGCCUUUAAC
RNAcentral lists this signal recognition particle RNA (97 nucleotides) under Paeniglutamicibacter cryotolerans. RNAcentral's name for it is "Arthrobacter cryotolerans Bacterial small signal recognition particle RNA". It matches the Rfam family "Bacterial small signal recognition particle RNA". From Rfam's summary of the family: The signal recognition particle (SRP) is a universally conserved ribonucleoprotein involved in the co-translational targeting of proteins to membranes. Archaeal SRP consists of a 7S RNA and homologues of the eukaryotic SRP19 and SRP54 proteins. The record is from Rfam by way of RNAcentral. Lineage: Bacteria; Bacillati; Actinomycetota; Actinomycetes; Micrococcales; Micrococcaceae.